GACCGAACCUUAGAUGAUAUCAUGCAGUCGUACAAGAGAUAUCGAGGUAGACUUGCUCCCUGAUGUUAGCGGCGGACGGGUGAGUAACACGUGGGUAACCUGCCUGUAAGACUGGGAUAACUCCGGGAAACCGGGGCUAAUACCGGAUGCUUGUUUGAACCGCAUGGUUCAAACAUAAAAGGUGGCUUCGGCUACCACUUACAGAUGGACCCGCGGCGCAUUAGCUAGUUGGUGAGGUAAUGGCUCACCAAGGCAACGAUGCGUAGCCGACCUGAGAGGGUGAUCGGCCACACUGGGACUGAGACACGGCCCAGACUCCUACGGGAGGCAGCAGUAGGGAAUCUUCCGCAAUGGACGAAAGUCUGACGGAGCAACGCCGCGUGAGUGAUGAAGGUUUUCGGAUCGUAAAGCUCUGUUGUUAGGGAAGAACAAGUACCGUUCGAAUAGGGCGGUACCUUGACGGUACCUAACCAGAAAGCCACGGCUAACUACGUGCCAGCAGCCGCGGUAAUACGUAGGUGGCAAGCGUUGUCCGGGAAUUAUUGGGCGUAAAGGGCUCGCAGGCGGUUUCUUAAGUCUGAUGUGAAAGCCCCCGGCUCAACCGGGGAGGGUCAUUGGAAACUGGGGAACUUGAGUGCAGAAGAGGAGAGUGGAAUUCCACGUGUAGCGGUGAAAUGCGUAGAGAUGUGGAGGAACACCAGUGGCGAAGGCGACUCUCUGGUCUGUAACUGACGCUGAGGAGCGAAAGCGUGGGGAGCGAACAGGAUUAGAUACCCUGGUAGUCCACGCCGUAAACGAUGAGUGCUAAGUGUUAGGGGGGUUUCCGCCCCUUAGUGCUGCAGCUAACGCAUUAAGCACUCCGCCUGGGGGAGGUACGGGUCGCAAGGACUGAAAACUCAAAGGAAUUGACGGGGGGCCCGCACAAGCGUUGGAGCAUGUGGUUUAAUUCAAGCAACGCGAAGAACCUUACCAGGUCUUGCAUCCUCUGAAUCCUAGAGAUAGGACGUCCCCUUCGGGGGCAGAGUGACAGGUGGUGCAUGGUUGUCGUCAGCUCGUGUCGUGAGAUGUUGGGUUAAGUCCCGCAACGAGCGCAACCCUUGAUCUUAGUUGCCAGCAUUCAGUUGGGCACUCUAAGGUGACUGCCGGUGACAAACCGGAGGAAGGUGGGGAUGACGUCAAAUCAUCAUGCCCCUUAUGACCUGGGCUACACACGUGCUACAAUGGACAGAACAAAGGGCAGCGAAACCGCGAGGUUAAGCCAAUCCCACAAAUCUGUUCUCAGUUCGGAUCGCAGUCUGCAACUCGACUGCGUGAAGCUGGAAUCGCUAGUAAUCGCGGAUCAGCAUGCCGCGGUGAAUACGUUCCCGGGCCUUGUACACACCGCCCGUCACACCACGAGAGUUUGUAACACCCGAAGUCGGUAAUAGUAACCUCUUGGGAGCACAACGACCGUAGAGAUGUACGACUC
RNAcentral lists this ribosomal RNA (1468 nucleotides) under Bacillus subtilis. Its description in RNAcentral is "bacterial SSU rRNA". It matches the Rfam family "Bacterial small subunit ribosomal RNA". Lineage: Bacteria; Bacillati; Bacillota; Bacilli; Caryophanales; Bacillaceae. The record is from RNAcentral.